GCAAGUCGAACGAGACCUUCGGGUCUAGUGGCGCACGGGUGCGUAACGCGUGGGAAUCUGCCCUUCGGUUGGGAAUAACACAGAGAAAUUUGUGCUAAUACCUUAUAAUGUCUUCGGACCAAAGAUUUAUCGCCGAGGGAUGAGCCCGCGUAGGAUUAGGUAGUUGGUGGGGUAAUGGCCUACCAAGCCGACGAUCCUUAGCUGGUCUGAGAGGAUGAUC
Molecule: ribosomal RNA, 220 nt
Filed under: uncultured bacterium
Lineage: Bacteria
Description: partial 16S ribosomal RNA
Rfam family: Bacterial small subunit ribosomal RNA
Source: RNAcentral